AUGUCCUACCAGUCAGCCUGUGGUGAUCCCCCCGUAGACGCCACUGGUCGUACUGGUCGUACUGGUCCUCCAGGGUCGGGGGAGCUGGUACCUCCAGCGUCCUCCAGGCCACCGGCUGGAUGCUGGUCUGUGGGUCCCAGCCAGCACACGCCUUUUAUUUAUUCAGGGUUUUGGAGAAGCUUGUUGCUCCAGGUGGUCCCUGAGGGCCCGGUCCAGGUCCCCGCCGUGAGGGCCCAGUCAAGGGGCCAGGGCCGGGUCCAGGGCCGGGUCCGGGUCCAGGGCCGGGUCCGGGUCCAGGGCCUGGUCCAGGGCCGGGUCCAGGGCCUGGUCCAGGGCCGGGUCCAGGCCGGGUCCAGGUCCGGCUCCGUGUCCGGGUCCAGGGCCUGGUCCAGGGCCGGGUCCGGGUCCAGGGCCGGGUCCAGGGCCUGGUCCAGGGCCGGGUCCAGGCCGGGUCCAGGGCCGGGUCCAGGGCCGGGUCCGGGUCCAGGGCCUGGUCCAGGGCCGGGUCCAGGCCGGGUCCAGGGCCGGGUCCGGGUCCAGGGCCUGGUCCAGGGCCGGGUCCAGGGCCGGGUCCAGGGCCGGGUCCAGGUCCGGCUCCGUGUCCGGGUCCAGGUCCGGGUCCAGGGCCGGGUCCAGGCCUGGUCCAGGUCCGGGUCUGGGUCCAGGGCCGGGUCCAGGGCCUGGUCCAGGGCCGGGUCCAGGGCCGGGUCCAGGGCCGGGUCCAGGGCCUGGUCCAGGCCGGGUCCAGGGCCGGGUCCAGGUCCGGCUCCGUGUCUGGGUCCAGGUCCGGGUCCAGGUCCGGCUCCGUGUCCGGGUCCAGGGCCUGGUCCGGGGCCGGGUCCAGGGCCUGGUCCGGGGCCGGGUCCAGGGCCUGGUCCGGGCCGGGUCCAGGGCCUGGUCCGGGGCCGGGUCCAGGGCCUGGUCCAGGGCCGGGUCCAGGUCCGGCUCCGUGUCUGGGUCCAGGGCCUGGUCCAGGGCCGGGUCCAGGGCCGGGUCCAGGGCCUGGUCCGGGGCCGGGUCCGGGGCCUGGUCCGGGGCCGGGUCCGGGGCCGGGUCCAGACUUCUCGUGUCUGUGGAGGCAAGGCCGAGUGGAGCUGA
RNAcentral lists this long non-coding RNA (1098 nucleotides) under Gadus morhua (Atlantic cod). Its description in RNAcentral is "lncRNA (ENSGMOG00000032582.1)". Lineage: Eukaryota; Metazoa; Chordata; Actinopteri; Gadiformes; Gadidae. The record is from RNAcentral.